RNAcentral lists this ribosomal RNA (118 nucleotides) under Brycon lundii. The record is from RNAcentral. Lineage: Eukaryota; Metazoa; Chordata; Actinopteri; Characiformes; Bryconidae.
UACGCCCGAUCUCGUCCGAUCUCGGAAACAAAGCAGGGUCUGGCCUGAUUAAUACUUGGAUGGGAGACUGCUUGGGAAUACCAGGUGCUGUAAGCUUGCUUACGGCCAUACCAGCCUG